AUAUACUUUACUGGCAGAACUGGAAUGCCAUCAGCCUAUCUGGUUCUCAGAUAUACUUCCUCUAGGACUGGAGCAGAUAGUCACUGAAUACCUGCUUCAAACCACCUUUCACGAUUUCUUGUUGGAAAGAUAACCACUGGAGAAUCAUCUGGUUACCUUCAGCAAACACGGAAACAAAUCAAGACAUUAAGAAAGCCACGGUGGCCGACAGUUCCGCAAGCUUUGGCAGAGGAAGUUUUCAAGACAGCGUGCCUCACUAGCCAGAAAUCAGAAAAGAUUGAACCUAUCCUUUCUGUCUCAGCUGCUCCUUAAAUUAAUGCGAUUCCUCCAAAUUAAUGUGAAUUGAAACAUGCAUUGCCUUUCAACUUAAUUGAGUACUUACUAUGUGUGAAUCACUGCACCAAAUAGGGGAGAGAAAAUGAGGGAGGCAAAUAAGAUGUGGAGCCUGCUUUCAAUGAAUUUACAAUUAAUUUCAGGGCACAUUUUUUACUUCUGCUCUUUAUUAGGUGUAACCCUAAGACAAGAAAUAAAUGAAUGGAAAA
Lemur catta (Ring-tailed lemur) is the source of this 542-nucleotide long non-coding RNA. RefSeq lists it as uncharacterized. The record is from RefSeq and is a predicted model, not a curated record. The transcript has 2 exons. Lineage: Eukaryota; Metazoa; Chordata; Mammalia; Primates; Lemuridae.